This is a long non-coding RNA of Quercus lobata, 3745 nucleotides long. RefSeq lists it as uncharacterized. NCBI's taxonomy places the organism in Eukaryota, Viridiplantae, Streptophyta, Magnoliopsida, Fagales, Fagaceae. The record is from RefSeq and is a predicted model, not a curated record. The transcript is spliced from 12 exons.
UCAACAUAUCCAAAUUAUGUGUGUUUGCUUUUUGUUUGAAUUUGUAUUUAUUUUUUAUUUUGAGUUUUGAGUUUUAUGUGGUUGUCAAUGUCAUAGUUGGAGUGACAACGUAUGGGCAUCUUAUUACUCAGUAUGGGCUUCUACAACAUCUCUUUGGUCUUCUUGAAUCUUUGGUGUUCUUAAACUUCAAUCUCCCUCCAUUUUUCGUUUCUAGGUUUUAGUGUCAGUCCUGAACAAUCAAGCGUCCAACCUACAACAAUCCAAGACUUCAUCAUACUCUCUCUUCUCCACUAAUUGAUUACAUGGGAAUGAUUCGUAGUCCUUCAAUAAAUAUUACUCUGAGUUUGUGCAUAGGUUUUUGUCUAAUGAUAUCAUUUAUGGGUUUCAGUAUGCGAUUGGGAGAUGGAGGCAGAGGAGUAGAUGAUAAAAGCGGAAUUUGUUGUGGUUUUGGUAUUCUUUUCUCUCUACAAAUUUCUAAUUUGAUUUUUGAUUCAUCCUUUGAAAAUUUCAGGCCUGAAUUCAUCCAUCACAGCUGCUCAAGGGCAUUGGGUCAUGGAAAGUUCAGGUUUGCUCAAUUUCUAACUUUAAACACAAGAUUCCCAUUACAUUUGAUAUGUUUAUUUGCUGAGAACCAUCGUGGUUUUGAUUUCUGUCAAAUAGCAAGCAUUAUGAUUUUCAACUUCCUUAACAGCAACCUUUGUGCUUUAAUUUUAAAAGACUAGAUCAUGAUUACUCUGUUCUGCACAUGCUUGUUUCAUUGGUGGAUAUGGAGUUCAAGAUUCUUUAUAAUGGUAACUCAACUAAGAAGAGAUGUUCCUGUUCAGUUUGGAGCAUUAAGUGAAGCAUAUCAAGUUUUAAGUGAUCCACUUUAAAGAGAUGCUUAUCAUUGAGAUGGAAAAAAUUACAUGUCUAGUUAAUUUUUUCUAGUGUAGAGUAGGUGAAUAAUAUUGAAGAAUUCUGUUCUGCCAUCAUGUAUAUUGACAAAAGCCAAAAGGGUCAACGCAAAAUGCAAUGGUGUAGCCUGUACCUUGGGCUUAGUCAUUGGCAGCUUGGGGAAGGUUUGAUAUUGUGGGUCUUCUAAGGUAGAAGUUCAGUUGCAGUUUUGGGCAUAUGGGGACAACCAAAGCUGCAAUGUGCAUAGAUUAUGAAUCAGUCUUAUGAGGUGAUGUUAAUAACAACUACACCUUUGUGCAAAUGAAAUCACAAAACUCCAGGUAUGAACUAAAGAUUUUGAGCUAAAUGAUAUGGCCUCCAGGUAACUAUUAGUAUUGUUUUUAAAUUUUCCAUUCCACCUAUCUUUCAACCUUGCACUUGCAGUGCCAUGACUACACAAUUGAAGUGCUCAUCACCAAGAGCUUCAACAACCUUGACAUUGUCCUCUUAGGUUUUGGAACACCAACAUUUCAUAUGUUUUCCUCUUGGCUUUUUAAUUCUGGCAGAUUACUGUUUAUUUGGUUUCUCAAUUUCAUGAAUUAUAUUUUUUUCUUCAAUAUGAGUUCUUUCCCUUUUGUUUUUUAUUUUUUCCCUUUAUACAUACAUACAUAUAUAAAUUCUCUUUUUGGAUUUUAUUUAAAGCAUGAAAAAUUAGUCAAUGAACAUGAUACUAAAGACAUUAAUGAGCUCAAGCAAGACUGUUACAUCAAUUACAAUAUAUACUUUGGGGUUUGGGCACAAUUUAGUGAUAAAUUUUUUAAUGCAUUGGAAGCUAUUUAAUUUUAAUUGCUUGAUUGCUUGUUCCCUUUUUUUGGGCAGUGGCUCAAGAGACAGAGUGAGCUUCAAUUCAUCUUUGAUUACACAACGAUUUGUUUUGGUCUUGAUUGGCCAUUGUUUCGAAGAAAUUUCAUACCAUGCUUCGUGAUCAGUAUUUAAUGUAGGUUAAUAGCAUUAUCUUAUGUAUCAAUUAUGAAUGUCUUGUGCAUGGUUUAAGAUUUUGUUGUUUCACAUUUGGUAUGCAAAAAAUGGCAUGAAUAAGGGAAUUUUACUGAAAUUUACAAUUUUUAAAAUGAAAAUUAAUUUGAUCUAAUCUUUCUUAAACAUAUAUAAAUUAUUCGUAUAUGGUCUGUUUGUGUAUUCAGUAGUUAGUUAUUUGGACUUUGGUUAUCUCUCGGUUUUGAUUUUCGCAAAAGCAAAUAUGCACAACUUCACAUUUUUUGCCCUCCAAAUCGGCAUGCACCCUGCAUUCCAAGAGUGUUGAUGUUGCCUUUCCUGUUUAUUUUGCAAAGGAGAGCCCCGCUAAUUGCAAUGCUGAAUGAGGAGAACCUUUUGGCUGAAGUCCAGCAUAGCUUGGGGAAGGUUUGAUAUCAUGGGUCUUCUAAGGUAGAAGUUCAAUGGCAAUUUUGGGCAUAUGGGGACAAUUAUUGCUGCAAUGUACAUAGAUUAUGAAUGUCUUAUGAGGUGAUUUUAAUAACAACUACACCAUUGUGCAAAUGAAAUUGCAAUAGUAGUUUUGGGCAUAUGGGGACAAUUAUUGCUGCAAUGUACAUAGAUUAUGAAUGUCUUAUGAGGUGAUUUUAAUAACAACUACAUCAUUGUGCAAAUGAAAUCGCAAAACUCCAGGUCUGAACUAAAGAUUUUGAGCUAAAUGAUACAGCCUUCAUGUAACUUUUAGUUUUGUUUUUAAAUUUCCCAUUCCACUUAUCUAUCAACCUUGCAGUGCCACGACUACACAAUUGAAGUGCUCGUCUCCAAGAGCUUCAACAGCCUUGACAUUGUCCUCUUUAGCAAACUGAUUGGCCUGAUGAAUAUGGAGAAAGCUACAUCGUGGACAACAGUACCUAAUCUUUCUCCCUCUCUCUUUGGCAUUGGUAUUUAGCUUUGGAAGUCAAUUUCAAGUUUUGUGAAUGAGAGGUUCUGGAAACUGAAGGUAAAAUGAUUGAUGGGUUGUUGUGUUUAUAUGCUUGGAGUUAUGAUAUAUGACAUUUAGCCAUACUUUGAUUUCGAAAUAUCAGAGGGGAAGUUUGAAAGAAUCAGAGAGCUUUAUGAGAAACUUCUAAACAAACUAAAGCACUUGAAGGGUCACCAAUUAAACACAGAAAGCGACACAGGAGAAAGAAUUUUCAAAACCAAGAACCAUGUCUCAUGAGAGAUGUCUAUUUCAAAAAUAUGAAGUGGCAGGCAGCAAUAAAAGUUGAUAAGAAACAAAUUCACUUGGGAAACUGUUGGUUCGCAAGAAGAGGCUGCUCGUAUAUAUGACAGAACACAAGAGAAGGCUUGGGGCAGGAUCACAGAGGAGGUCUGUGUCUCCGUUGCGAAACAGCGACUGGGAUGGCAAGCAAGAAGUCAAUGGCCAUUCGAAUUUAGAAGAUUUGGAGCCCUAAACAUCUGCCUCUUGAAAACUACAAUCAAGAACAAACACCAAAUUUUCUAGUUCUAACAGUAAAGUUCUAGCUGAUAGGUUCCAAUUUUUGUUGUAUGAAGACCCACUCAAGGGUCAAUCACGGUAGAUUUCAUUGUCUCAUGGUAAACAAAUUUUUCUUGCUUUAAACCAAUAAAGAAUUCCAUAUUGGAUGCAUCAUAGUCAUUAAUCAGCAUCUUCUUCAGUUGGAUGAGCUCGUGUGCAGAUAUAAUUCUGUCUCAUGAGGUUGAAGCUUAAACACAUUCAAACUCGUUAUAAACUGUUCAUGUAGGAAAAGCUUCUUGAGAAAUUUGGCAGAGAAGUUCCUAUUGCCAAUAAUUUAUCUGCUAUUUACAUAAUUGUAUACUGAAUUCAUGCACUACCAGUAGCGGUAUGCAAUUAUAAGCUAAU